GACGAACGCUGGCGGCGUGCUUAACACAUGCAAGUCGAACGCUGAAGCACCAGCUUGCUGGUGUGGAUGAGUGGCGAACGGGUGAGUGAUACGUGAGUAACCUGCCCUUGACUCUGGGAUAAGCCCGGGAAACUGGGUCUAAUACUGGAUGCUACAUGUCACCGCAUGGUGGUGUGUGGAAAGGGUUUACUGGUCUUGGAUGGGCUCACGGCCUAUCAGCUUGUUGGUGAGGUAAUGGCUCACCCAGGCGACGACAGGUAGCCGGCCUGAGAGGGUGACCGGCCACACUGGGACUGAGACACGGCCCAGACUCCUACGGGAGGCAGCAGUGGGGAAUAUUGCACAAUGGGCGAAAGCCUGAUGCAGCGACGCCGCGUGAGGGAUGACGGCCUUCGGGUUGUAAACCUCUUUCAGCAGGGAAGAAGCCACAAGUGACGGUACCUGCAGAAGAAGCGCCGGCUAACUACGUGCCAGCAGCCGCAGUAA
This 486-nucleotide ribosomal RNA is filed under the name uncultured bacterium. Its description in RNAcentral is "partial 16S ribosomal RNA". It matches the Rfam family "Bacterial small subunit ribosomal RNA", at positions 28 to 523 of the family's 1533-position model. The record is from RNAcentral.